This 205-nucleotide microRNA precursor is filed under the name Oryza nivara. RNAcentral's name for it is "MIR812 microRNA precursor family". It matches the Rfam family "MIR812 microRNA precursor family". The record is from Rfam by way of RNAcentral. Lineage: Eukaryota; Viridiplantae; Streptophyta; Magnoliopsida; Poales; Poaceae.
CAAAAGGCAAACCCUAGGUUUACGUGUCCAACUUUGACUGUCCGUCUUAUAUGAAAUUUUUUUAUAAUUCGUAUUUUCAUUGUUGUUAGAUGAUAAAACAUGAUUAAUAUUUUAUGCGUGACUUGUCUUUUUAAUUUUUUUCAUAAUUUUUUCAAAUAAGACGAACGGUCAAACGUUGGGCACGGAAACCAGGGUUUGUCUUUUU